CAUGCAAGUCGAACGGUAUAUGGUGCUUGCACCAUAGAGAGUGGCGAACGGGUGAGUAACACGUAGAUGAUCUACCCUUUANUUGGGGAUAGCCGAGGGAAACAUGGGGUAAUACCGAAUAAUAUCCAAUGAUGAAAGGAGCUUAUGCUUCGCUGAAGGAUGAGUCUGCGGCUCAUUAGCUAGUUGGUAGGGUAAGAGCCUACCAAGGCGAUGAUGAGUAGCCGGCCUGAGAGGGUGACCGGUCACACUGGGACUGAGACACGGCCCAGACUCCUACGGGAGGCAGCAGCUAAGAAUCUUCCGCAAUGGACGAAAGUCUGACGGAGCGACGCCGCGUGUAUGAAGAAGGCCGAAAGGUUGUAAAAUACUUUUCCUGGGGAUGAAUAAGGUUGGGAGGUAAUGCCUGACCGAUGACGUUAACCAGGGAAUAAGCCCCGGCUAAUUACGUGCCAGCAGCCGCGGUAACACGUAAGGGGCGAGCGUUGUUCGGAAUCAUUGGGCGUAAAGGGCGCGUAGGCUGUUUACCAAGCUUGGUGUGAAAGACCCCGGCUCAACCGGGGGAUCGCGCUGGGAACUGGUAGGCUAGAGUACUGGAGGGGAGUCUGGAAUUCCUAGUGUAGGGGUGAAAUCUGUAGAUAUUAGGAAGAACACCGGUGGCGAAGGCGAGACUCUGGACAUGUACUGACGCUGAGGCGCGAAAGCGUGGGGAGCGAACAGGAUUAGAUACCCUGGUAGUCCACGCUGUAAACGAUGUGCACUAGGUGUAGGAGGGAUACUUUCUGCGCCGUAGUAAACGCGAUAAGUGCACCGCCUGGGGAGUAUGCCCGCAAGGGUGAAACUCAAAGGAAUUGACGGGGGCCCGCACAAGCGGUGGAGCAUGUGGUUUAAUUCGAUGAUACGCGAGAAACCUUACCAGGGCUUGACAUAUGCAUGACGAUCAUAGAGAUAUGGUUUCUUUUCGGAGCGUGUAUACAGGUGCUGCAUGGCUGUCGUCAGCUCGUGCUGUGAAGUGUUGGGUUAAGUCCCGCAACGAGCGCAACCCUUGCUAUCUGUUGCCAGCAUUCAGUUGGGGACUCAGAUGGUACUGCCGGUGACAAACCGGAGGAAGGUGGGGACGACGUCAAGUCAUCAUGGCCCUUAUGUCCUGGGCUACACACGUGCUACAAUGGCCUGUACAGAGUGAGGCAAAACCGCGAGGUGGAGCAAAACACAGAAAGCAGGUCUCAGUUCGGAUUGGAGUCUGAAACCCGACUUCAUGAAGGUGGAAUCGCUAGUAAUCGCGCAUCAGCAUGGCGCGCUGAAUUCGUUCCCGGGCCUUGUACACACCGCCCGUCACACCACCCGAGUUGGGGGUACCCGAAGUCGCUCGUCUAACC
This 1376-nucleotide ribosomal RNA is filed under the name uncultured organism. RNAcentral's name for it is "16S ribosomal RNA". It matches the Rfam family "Bacterial small subunit ribosomal RNA". The record is from RNAcentral.